Small nuclear RNA from Cervus hanglu yarkandensis (Yarkand deer), 103 nucleotides. The record is from Ensembl. NCBI's taxonomy places the organism in Eukaryota, Metazoa, Chordata, Mammalia, Artiodactyla, Cervidae.
GCUUGCUUCGGCGGAACAAAUACUGACAUUGGAAUUAUACAUGAAAGAGUAGCAUGAGUCCUGCACAGGGAUGACACAAAUUUGUGAAGCAUUCCAUAUUUUU